AGUAGCAGUAGCACUGCUGCUGGUUGGUGCGGUGCGGCGAGUCCCACUCGAGCUCCUCGGGCUGGUAGGACAGCACCAUCUUCACGGCCUGCAGCGUCCUGGCGAUGGCACCCUUCUUCAGCGCGCCGCCUUUCUGCGGGGAGGUGACGUGUCGGAAACGGAGGAAGCCUUUUCUCGUGGAUCCCGCAUCUAUCCUCGCUCCCUCCCAGGAGGAUCUCUUAGGAAUCAUAUUAGCAUUAACACCAACGAUGAAGCCGACUGCGAGUGAUCUGCUCAUCACCACGUGCCCAGGACCUCGUACGGCGCGUGGCACACAACAUGUGUUCGAGGCAUGUUUGUCGACUCCAUGGUCUCUUGCCUCUUAUUCCUCAAUAUGGUCCUGAGGGUCACGACAAGCCCUCAACUCCCUAAGGAGGUAAGCCAGUAAAGUGGUAAGCGUAAUCAAGUGCUCAAUGCCUGCGGCUUGCUCAUCCUCGUGCUGUCCUCCCAGCGAUGCCAGCAGGGGCUCCGUCCUGCCCGGGACGCACAGUUCUCUGGCUGGGGAAACACACUGCAGCACCCACGGGGGGCCUGGCGCACCGGGGGCCCUCUACCCAAUGUCUGCGGGGGUCUUCCCCGGCCGCUCCAUCGCCUUCAGUGAGAAGGUAACUCAGGAGAAGAGCUCCUCCGUGCUUUGGAUCUUGGGAGAAGAAAUUGAGGGCGAGGGGCGCUGGGAGAAGCGUCUCCACCUCCGCAUCAGCCACGACAUCUUGGAUGGAGCCUCUGCGAACUGGCUGGGUUCUGUGGCCUCCACUUGGCAGGCGCCUUGAAAUCCUUCCUUUCGGUAACACAUUCUUCAGGAAGGGCCUCCCAGCAACUCAGGAGCCCUGGGCCAAAGGUCUCAUGCAACUGCCCUGCGAGGCCACAGCCGUCAUCACCUCCUUUCUUCAGAUGAAGAAACCGAGGCUCAGAGAAGUGUCACUUGUUCAAGAACACGCAGCAAGCAAGUGGCGGAGCUGAAGCUUGGCCCGAGGCCUACUGAGCCCAAGCUUAGAGCUCCAAGCGGGAAACACGAGUGUUGUGACUGAUGAGUGGGGUCUGUGAUGCCCGUGGGAAGGGAGAACGGGGCCGUGGGGGGGACUGUCAGCCCUCCGCGGGCCAGGAUGGCGCCCGACCCAGCUCCGGCUCAGCCCCAGAGCUGCUCCAGCUCCGCCCAGACAUGAUCAUCGUCGCCCUGCCUGGUCCAUCUCUGCCUUCUCGGCUUCCCGCCACGGCUGGGGCUGCCUCCACUCGUUUCCCCCACACGUGGAUCGGGCGCACUGUGCUCACACGCAGAGGAGCCAGUUCUGAGCGCCCCUCCCCGUUCCUGGCCCCGGACUGACCCAGAGCCCUGUGCAGUCGGGCACGAAGUGGCAUCCCAGUUCUCCCAGCACCUUCCGGAGGAGUCCGAGCCACCUCCUCCACCUGCCUGCCUCCCUUCGUGACGUGGGAGUGAUCACAGGCGUGACAGACGUCCGAGUGCCUUUCUGUGUAAACAGGCUCGUCAUCGGAUCUCCUCAGGUGGGCCGGGGGGCAGGGGGGCCCAUCUGACAAGGGCAGAUGCAAGCAGUACCAGAGAGAAGGCGGCGGAUGGGAGUGGAGGAGGAGAGCGGGCCAGGGUGGGGCAGGGGAGCCCGGGCCCUUCGGGGUACUCACCAUGCUGUAUGUCCUUCCAGAGGACCCAGUAUUUGGAAUUAUCUUCAAAAGUCACAAGGCAGCUCUGCUUAGAACUGCUGACCUGGGCGCGGAGAGGGAGGGGCAACGUGAGAAAGUGGCCGGGGACCAGCCCCUGGGACAUGGAGGUCCUCUCCCAUCCACUCCUUGUGCUCCAGAAAGCAGAGCCAGGCUGGAAGGGGGAGGACAGUGGUUCCAGAGGCAGAGUGUGCCUGGGGACUUGGUGGGAAUGCCAAGGACGGUGCAGGCCAGGUGGUCACCUGCGGUCCCCUCCAGCCUGACUUUGUUUUGUUCUGUGGGCUCGUAGAGCUCUUUUCUAAAGACCUGGCUGCAUGAUGUCAGCCCUGAGGAUGGCACCUGCCCAAGCAGGCUCCGGCUCCUUCCACAUUCAUCUUUUGAGCAUGAGGGGCAGUAAGGGAGGCCCAGGCCAGAGGACGAGCAGAGACGCUGAGCCUGGGAACUGGGGCCGGGGAGGAAAGUUUACCCUCUUGAUCUUCCCGAGGUAAUACAGUCCAUCUGUCCAGCGGCACAGCACGUACUGGCCCUCCGUCAGCUUGGACAUCAGGUCUUUGAAGUUGUUCUUGGCUUUUGCCAGGGCCCCCUUGUUGGGGAGGUGGCUGGUGGCACCAUAGGAGUCCCGAGUCCCUGGGUCCAGAGUGUGAUUCUCCAUCAGCUUCCCCUGACACUGGAAGAGAGAGAGAGAGAACAGGGUUUUUACUCCUCACUCCCCGGGCCCAACAGUCCAUCCGGGGAAGGAAGGAGCCCAUCAUGGACACAACCCGUGGUACGGUGUGCUGGGCGCUUGUUAUCGCGCUGGAUCCUCGUGACAACCCUGCGGGGGGCAGGUUAUUACUCCCAUUCCACAGGCCGAGGAACUGAGGGCCGGCAGGGGAAGUGGCCAGUGGGGUGGAGGCAGAGGCAAGGCUUCAGUGAGGUGUGCUGGUCUGCACCCCUGCCCCUCUUCCCACCUCCUGCGCAGGCUGCCUUAGGCCUUCUCCGGGAGGGGAGCGGGGGGAAGUCUUUGCUCCCCCCACCCUGCCCCGAGAUCUGGGAAGGAAAGCUCCCAGGUGGCUAGUGACCAGGUACAGAUGGCCCGCUUCUGUCUUUUGUGAUCCCCCUUUCUGCUCUCAGUUAUGGGGUGACUUCAAGGAAACCAAUUCUGGGACAUCUAAAUCCACUCAGGGGCAAGUGUGCUCCAAGCAGUAAGUCAUCACAAGCUGCCGUGUCCGUCUGCACCUGUCUCUGUCCCCACCCUAUGAGACGCUCUCUUCUCCCUGCUGGUGGUACCACUGGUGGUCCCAGAACCCCCGAGCAUCUCUAGACUUCUCCCACUAGUCAGGUGCCGCCGUGUGCCAACUUCAAGCCCAGUGGGCCCUGGCAUGUGGCCCCUCUUUUCUGCGUCCCCGUCCUGGUCUGAUCUGAGGCCUCCCUUUUGCUUGGGCCCUUCAUUCACUCACUCGCUGUUGGGGAGCCUUGUGCUCACGCUUGCUGGCUCCUGGGGUGGGGAACGACACCACCACACCCAGGACAGGUCCCUCCCCGCCUCCCCGCCUCCCCGCUUCCCCACCAGACUCUUCCACGGGGCCAAGCAUUCCCUGUCUUUCUCCCGGAGGCCGUCUGUGGCUCCCCGUGUCAUCUCAGGCACUGGAAGCCGUCCCCAAGGCCCGCCUCCCUCCCUGCGCUCACCUGGCUCCGUGCCCCUGCGCGCUCUGCAGAGCCGACACAGCCGCGCUCUGUUCCCUGCGCCCGC
Long non-coding RNA from Canis lupus familiaris (dog), 3442 nucleotides. RefSeq lists it as uncharacterized. The transcript is spliced from 3 exons. Lineage: Eukaryota; Metazoa; Chordata; Mammalia; Carnivora; Canidae. The record is from RefSeq and is a predicted model, not a curated record.